This 253-nucleotide ribosomal RNA is filed under the name uncultured bacterium. Its description in RNAcentral is "partial 16S ribosomal RNA". It matches the Rfam family "Bacterial small subunit ribosomal RNA", at positions 524 to 776 of the family's 1533-position model. The record is from RNAcentral.
UACGAAGGUGGCAAGCGUUGUUCGGAAUCACUGGGCGUAAAGCGUACGCAGGCUGUCUGUUAAGUCGGGGGUGAAAUCCCGGGGCUCAACCCCGGAACUGCCUUCGAUACUGGCAGGCUAGAGUCCGUGAGAGGAGUGUGGAAUUCCUAGUGUAGAGGUGAAAUUCGUAGAUAUUAGGAGGAACACCAGUGGCGAAGGCGACACUCUGGCGCGGUACUGACGCUCAUGUACGAAAGUGUGGGGAGCAAACAGG